UCACUUUCAACAACGGAUCUCUUGGCUCUCGCAUCGAUGAAGAACGUAGCGAAGUGCGAUAAGUAAUGUGAAUUGCAAAUUCUGUGAAUCAUCGAAUCUUGAACGCAAAUUGCACUCUCUUCGGAGAGUAUGCCUGUUUGAGGGCCAGU
This 149-nucleotide ribosomal RNA is filed under the name Rhizophagus intraradices. Its description in RNAcentral is "5.8S ribosomal RNA". It matches the Rfam family "5.8S ribosomal RNA". From Rfam's summary of the family: 5.8S ribosomal RNA (5.8S rRNA) is a component of the large subunit of the eukaryotic ribosome. It is transcribed by RNA polymerase I as part of the 45S precursor that also contains 18S and 28S rRNA. Functionally, it is thought that 5.8S rRNA may be involved in ribosome translocation. The record is from RNAcentral. Lineage: Eukaryota; Fungi; Glomeromycota; Glomeromycetes; Glomerales; Glomeraceae.